Molecule: ribosomal RNA, 858 nt
Filed under: uncultured Alphaproteobacteria bacterium
Lineage: Bacteria; Pseudomonadati; Pseudomonadota; Alphaproteobacteria
Description: bacterial SSU rRNA
Rfam family: Bacterial small subunit ribosomal RNA
Source: RNAcentral
CCGCGGGAUUAGAGUUUGAUCCUGGCUCAGAGCGAACGCUGGCGGCAGGCUUAACACAUGCAAGUCGAGCGGGCGUAGCAAUACGUCAGCGGCAGACGGGUGAGUAACGCGUGGGAACGUACCUUUUGGUUCGGAACAACACAGGGAAACUUGUGCUAAUACCGGAUAAGCCCUUACGGGGAAAGAUUUAUCGCCAAAAGAUCGGCCCGCGUCUGAUUAGCUAGUUGGUGAGGUAACGGCUCACCAAGGCGACGAUCAGUAGCUGGUCUGAGAGGAUGAUCAGCCACAUUGGGACUGAGACACGGCCCAAACUCCUACGGGAGGCAGCAGUGGGGAAUAUUGGACAAUGGGCGCAAGCCUGAUCCAGCCAUGCCGCGUGAGUGAUGAAGGCCCUAGGGUUGUAAAGCUCUUUUGUGCGGGAAGAUAAUGACGGUACCGCAAGAAUAAGCCCCGGCUAACUUCGUGCCAGCAGCCGCGGUAAUACGAAGGGGGCUAGCGUUGCUCGGAAUCACUGGGCGUAAAGGGUGCGUAGGCGGGUCUUUAAGUCAGGGGUGAAAUCCUGGAGCUCAACUCCAGAACUGCCUUUGAUACUGAGGAUCUUGAGUUCGGGAGAGGUGAGUGGAACUGCGAGUGUAGAGGUGAAAUUCGUAGAUAUUCGCAAGAACACCAGUGGCGAAGGCGGCUCACUGGCCCGAUACUGACGCUGAGGCACGAAAGCGUGGGGAGCANACAGGAUUAGAUACCCUGGUAGUCCACGCCGUAAACGAUGAAUGCCAGCCGUUAGUGGGUUUACUCACUAGUGGCGCAGCUAACGCUUUAAGCAUUCCGCCUGGGGAGUACGGUCGCAAGAUUAAAACU